UCCUACGGGAGGCAGCAGUAGGGAAUAUUGCACAAUGGGGGGAACCCUGAUGCAGCAACGCCACGUGUGGGAAGAAGCAUUUCGGUGUGUAAACCACUGUCAUGAGGGAAUAAGGCCCGCCUUCGGACGGGAUUGAAUGUACCUUGAGAGGAAGCACCGGCAAACUUCGUGCCAGCAGCCGCGGUAAUACGAGGGGUGCAAGCGUUGUUCGGAAUUACUGGGCGUAAAGGGAGCGUAGGCGGAGAUUCAAGCGGAUUGUACAAUCCCGGGGCCCAACCCCGGCUCUGCAGUCCGAACUGGAUCUCUUGGAUAGUUCAGGGGCAGGCGGAAUUCCUGGUGUAGCGGUGGAAUGCGUAGAGAUCAGGAAGAACACCGAUGGCGAAGGCAGCCUGCUGGGGACUCAUCGACGCUGAGGCUCGAAAGUGCGGGUAGCAAACAGGAUUAGAUACCCUGGUAGUCC
RNAcentral lists this ribosomal RNA (460 nucleotides) under uncultured bacterium. Its description in RNAcentral is "bacterial SSU rRNA". It matches the Rfam family "Bacterial small subunit ribosomal RNA", at positions 337 to 796 of the family's 1533-position model. The record is from RNAcentral.